This 238-nucleotide ribosomal RNA is filed under the name uncultured bacterium. RNAcentral's name for it is "partial 16S ribosomal RNA". It matches the Rfam family "Bacterial small subunit ribosomal RNA", at positions 15 to 244 of the family's 1533-position model. The record is from RNAcentral.
GAUCAUGGCUCAGGACGAACGCUGGCGGCGCGCCUAACACAUGCAGGUCGAACGGAGCUGAGAGGAGCUUGCUUUUCUUAGCUUAGUGGCGAACGGGUGAGUAACGCGUGAGGUAACCUGCCCUGGAGUGGGGGACAACAGUUGGAAACGACUGCUAAUACCGCAUAAGCCCACGAUCCGGCAUCGGAUUGAGGGAAAAAGGAUUUAUUCGCUUCAGGAUGGACUCGCGUCCAAUUAG